UCGCACCUACCGAUUGAGUGGUCCGGUGAAUCUUUCGGACUGCGCGCGGCUCUGUGCCGGGUCGCGGAAAGUCAGGUAAAUCUUAACACUUAGAGGAAGGAG
RNAcentral lists this ribosomal RNA (102 nucleotides) under uncultured eukaryote. Its description in RNAcentral is "partial small subunit ribosomal RNA". The record is from RNAcentral.